Molecule: microRNA precursor, 53 nt
Filed under: Parasteatoda tepidariorum (common house spider)
Lineage: Eukaryota; Metazoa; Arthropoda; Arachnida; Araneae; Theridiidae
Description: microRNA pte-mir-11953 precursor
Source: miRBase by way of RNAcentral
UUCUGUUCAGUGUUAGUCUGAGAUGUUAGUUUUAGCUUUCACUGAAUGGCAGC